Molecule: ribosomal RNA, 303 nt
Filed under: uncultured bacterium
Lineage: Bacteria
Description: partial 16S ribosomal RNA
Rfam family: Bacterial small subunit ribosomal RNA
Source: RNAcentral
AGCAGCCGCCACGGUAAUACGAAGGGUGCAAGCGUUACUCGGAAUCACUGGGCGUAAAGCGUGUGUAGGUGGUUGUUUAAGUCUGUCGUGAAAGCCCUGGGCUCAACCUGGGAAUUGCGAUGGAUACUGGGCGGCUAGAGUGCGGUAGAGGAUAGUGGAAUUUCCGGUGUAGCAGUGAAAUGCGUAGAGAUCGGAAGGAACAUCUGUGGCGAAGGCGACUAUCUGGGCCAACACUGACACUGAGACACGAAAGCGUGGGGAGCAAACAGGAUUAGAUACCCCAGUAGUCCCUGUCUCUUAUAA